RNAcentral lists this ribosomal RNA (552 nucleotides) under uncultured Hypocreales. RNAcentral describes it as "eukaryotic LSU rRNA". The stretch from base 196 to 349 matches the Rfam family "5.8S ribosomal RNA". Lineage: Eukaryota; Fungi; Ascomycota; Sordariomycetes; Hypocreales. The record is from RNAcentral.
CAUUACCGAGUUUACAACUCCCAAACCCCUGUGAACGUACCUACUCGUUGCCUCGGCGGGAGGCCCCGGGGGGCGGACGGCGCUCGCGCCGGAAGCCCUCCCGGACCCCAUGGCUGCCCGCCGGAGGACCACAAACUCUUGUUUUACUUGAAUCUUACACUUCUGAGUAACUGGCGAAAGCCGAAAAUAAAUCAAAACUUUCAACAACGGAUCUCUUGGCUCUGGCAUCGAUGAAGAACGCAGCGAAAUGCGAUAAGUAAUGUGAAUUGCAGAAUUCAGUGAAUCAUCGAAUCUUUGAACGCACAUUGCGCCCGCCAGUAUUCUGGCGGGCAUGCCUGUUCGAGCGUCAUUUCAACCCUCACGCCCCGCGUGGCUUUGGGGGACGGCAGCGGCCUCCGGGCCUACGCCGCCCCCGAAUUUCAGUGGCGGACUCGCCGCGGCUUCCUCUGCGUAGUAGCACACCUCGCACCGGAAAGCGGCGGGCCCAGCCGUAAAACCCCAACUUCUUUUGUGGUUGACCUCGAAUCAGGUAGGAAUACCCGCUGAACUUAA